AACAAUGGCCAUAGAUAAUCUAUUGCGAUGCAUAAGAAGAAUUAUAAUGAAAUAUCAACUGCAAGAAAAUAUACAAAAAUUUUUAAUAGAAUUUAGAUUGUAUUUUUCAUAUCAAAAAAUGAUUGAUUUUCAUCGCAUUAAAUCAUGACACUAUAUAUUGCAUAGAUCUUAAAGCAUAUCAAUCUAUUUCUUUUCUCCGCCGGCAU
This 206-nucleotide long non-coding RNA is filed under the name Elaeis guineensis (African oil palm). Its description in RNAcentral is "long non-coding RNA (EGUI_LNC036097)". Lineage: Eukaryota; Viridiplantae; Streptophyta; Magnoliopsida; Arecales; Arecaceae. The record is from RNAcentral.